GACGAACGCUGGCGGCGUGCCUAAUACAUGCAAGUCGAGCGAAUCAAUAGGAGCUUGCUCCUGAUGGUUAGCGGCGGACGGGUGAGUAACACGUGGGCAACCUGCCUGUAAGACUGGGAUAACACCGGGAAACCGGUGCUAAUACCGGAUAAUCCUUUUCCUCUCAUGAGGAAAAGCUGAAAGUCGGUUUCGGCUGACACUUACAGAUGGGCCCGCGGCGCAUUAGCUAGUGGGUGAGGUAACGACUAACCAAGGCGACGAUACGUAGCCGACUGCAGAGGGUGAUCGGCUACACUGGGACUGAGAAACGGCCCAGACUCAUACGGGAGGCAGCAGUAGGGAAUCUUCCACAAUGGACGAAAGUCUGAUGGAGCAACGCCGCGUGAGCGAUGAAGGCCUUCGGGUCGUAAAGCUCUGUUGUUAGGGAAGAACAAGUACCGGAGUAACUGCCGGUACCUUGACGGUACCUAACCAGAAAGCCACGGCUAACUACGUGCCAGCCGCCGCGGUAA
Molecule: ribosomal RNA, 512 nt
Filed under: uncultured bacterium
Lineage: Bacteria
Description: partial 16S ribosomal RNA
Rfam family: Bacterial small subunit ribosomal RNA
Source: RNAcentral